AUUGAACGCUGGCGGCAGGCCUAACACAUGCAAGUCGAACGAGUGGCGGACGGGUGAGUAAUGUCUGGGCAACUGCCCGAUGGAGGGGGAUAACUACUGGAAACGGUAGCUAAUACCGCAUACCAUCGGAUGUGCCCAGAUGGGAUUAGCUUGUAGGUGAGGUAACGGCUCACCUAGGCGACGAUCCCUAGCUGGUCUGAGAGGAUGACCAGCAACACUAGAAAUGUGACACGGUCGAGACACCUAGGGUAGGCAGGAGUGGGGAAUAUUGCACAAGGGGUGGAAGCCUGAUGAAGGCAUGCCGCGUGUAUGAAGAAGGCCUUCGGGUUGUAAAGUACUUUAAGCGGGGAGACGGUACCCUCAGAAGAAGCACCGGCUAACUCCGUGCCAGCAGCCGCGGUAAUUC
RNAcentral lists this ribosomal RNA (406 nucleotides) under uncultured bacterium. RNAcentral describes it as "partial 16S ribosomal RNA". It matches the Rfam family "Bacterial small subunit ribosomal RNA", at positions 30 to 526 of the family's 1533-position model. The record is from RNAcentral.